Molecule: long non-coding RNA, 2748 nt
Organism: Synchiropus splendidus (mandarinfish)
Lineage: Eukaryota; Metazoa; Chordata; Actinopteri; Syngnathiformes; Callionymidae
Exons: 3
Source: RefSeq, a predicted model, not a curated record
CCUCCGUGUACAGUCACGCAGUCAUGGCCAUGUCGACUUCUCCAAUAAGCUGCCUCCAUGACGGGACGCUCUUGAUGCAAUUCUUCUGAGAUAGGAAGUUGUGGUCAUUUGCUUGCAACAUGUGUCCCGACGUCUUAUUGCCAUUGGGAGAUGAUGGACGGCGCAGCGCUUGAUGGAUGUGCUAGCAGCUUUUAAGAAACAUCAGUCACAUUUUCAGCAUGUGGGCAGUUCAUGUGUCAAGUUGCCAGUGACAUCAACAAAAGCAGGGGAGUAAGGAGAGAUACGCUCGCUUAUAGCUGAAAAUACAGAUACAUCCACCACUCUGAAUUCGUGUCUGCCACAGAUGACAGUAUUAACCCUACAGAGUCCAUGGAUGUGCAGAAAUGACCGAUUAAAGAAAGCGAAAAAGGGUGUCAAAAGUGCAGACUCAAAACAAUAUAGCAUUUACCACAGCCCUCAUUACAGUAUCUUGCACUUUAAUCUGGACAUCGUUGGUAUAAAAUGGAUGCUCAUUGGAUUCAUGAGUACAUGAUCUUGAUUUGUGUGUAUCAACGUGCUGUUCGAGUAAGUAGGGUUUUAUGUAAAGCAUGCAAGCAUUAUUAUAAUUUCAACUGUGUUGAAUCCUUGCAUCAACUGCAAGCGGUUCACUCACAAUAACUUGAACUCCAAUGUUUCCCUGUGUUCAGAACAUGCAUUUAAACAACGCUGUCUCUCCAAACUCUAACGUUUAUGCUUUUAUUCUUCACCAACAGCCCAACAGACCUUCUAGAUGCACAAUAAAAGCUUCCUCCAAACUCUGCAGCUGCUCUUCCAAGCUGGCUCUGAUCCAUCUGUCCGAGAUCAACCGUUUUAUCGGAUUAUCAUUGACAGGGAGUCUAGACCUGCUGAGAGAGGCACUUUCCCUCCUGAUUCUGGAUCUGACAUUGGGACCGACAACAAACAAGUCUAUUCCACAGGGAGAACAGCUCUCUGUAAUCCAUACUGACCUUCCCUGGCUGCAAUUCAGCUUUAUUUUUAGUUGAGCUGAAGAGGACAAACCUAAUCGUCUAUUGUAGAAGCAGGAGGCUGCUAUUUUCCCAGCAUCACUCCACCCUUCCACUCAUGUGUGAAUAGGAAAAAGGAAAAUUAUAGACUCUCUUCCUCAAAGCCCAAGUAUACCGAUGAAGGUGACCGUGGAUCAACUACACAGAAUUUUACAUCUUGUCUGAGGUCAGAGCCUUAAACCCAUGGGUUCUGUAUAGUUUUGAAAAACGGAUCUGGCGCCACUGAAAGUGGCUUUGUCGAAUUAUGGUCACUCUGCUCAGCAUCCAAAACUUCUGUCAAAGUUAAAAUCAAAACAUAUAUGGAUUAAAUUCAGAAAGAUUAAUCAUAAUUGCUCAUAUGCUAUAAUAGUGUUCAACCUUUCAGCCAUUUGAGGUAAAGAAAACAUUGUCUUUGCUUUGCUGCCAGGAGUGCCAAAGGGUUUAGGAAUAGAGACAUUGACACAAAACAAGAUUGAUAUAUAUACUCAUUUAUUAGCCUAUUAGGGCAUAAAUAAACACAGAAAUGUGAAUGUAAGUAAGGAAAGACAUCUGUGUGAUUUAUUAGCUGUAUUUCCAACUGGACAGUUGAGGCUUGGUGUCCUCACUGGAGCAUAGGCUUUGACAAUCUAUUUCAAUGAACAAAAUUUCCAAAAAUGACAAUAAUGCUUCAUGAAGCCUCAACAACCCCCAUCAUCAGAAACACUGACACCAGCCUUUCUGAAAUUAAUUCUAACAAGUUACAUGAAAUUGAAUGAAUUUAUUCCCAAUACUUUGUCCUCUGAUCAUACAGAUUUUCACAGCAUUGUGUUUAGAUAUACUACCUCUACUGUGCACAUGUAGGUGAUUUUGUCAUUUGAGAUUGCCUCAUCCUUCUGAGUCAGGUGUGUAGGCAGAUUCCUGGGGUUUAAUUUUUCAAAGCAAAAACAAUUGCUCCUUACAAAACACAGUGGCAGUCGUUUGUGCACACUGACAUUCAAUGGCUUACAAAGGCUUACAAAGGAUGACCACAAGAAGGGAGAAUUGUUUUCAGUGAGUCUCUUGAAGGGGAAACACUAGCAUGGUUAUCGGCAGUGAAGUAUGUGUCAACGAAGAAUGCAUGUCAUAUGCAAUUUCUGUAACACUUUGUGAUUAACCUAGACAACAAAUAAACACCACUUUAAGACUUUAACACUUCUGCAACAAAUAAACUUUUGAUUAUGCGGACACAGCAGCUACGAGCACUAUGGCAAGCACCACUCCAAUAUCACAUACAUCGUCAGUGAACCCCUUAGUCCCGUAGCAUGUUAAAUGUUUGAAUCCACAUGUCAGCCGUCGUUGAUAGGUCCAGCAAUGUUGGAGGUUUGCCUUAGAAUGGAUGUCCCCUUGGUUUGCUUGCUCAGGACUGGCAGUGGAUCAAAUCUGUGUUGAUCUGCGUUUCUGUAUGGCCAGCAAAUAUCUGUAUCUCUCUUCCUGUUUUGUCCUCUGUGUCAAUCUGUCACGACUAGAUCCACCCAAAACUGUCUCUUGGUAGAUGAUAUGUAAGUCCGUUUCUGAUGUCUCACCAGCGAUUAUAAUAUUGUUAUUGUUAUUGAUGAACUAAUCUGGUUCAGGGUGACCACCUAUUUUGUUCUCAUUGUUUUGUUUCGGUUAACGUUCUCAACGCUUCUUGUUUCAAUUGUUUUCAUUGCUGUGAUAUUUUAAGAUUGUCUGGUCACUUAUUUCCUUGAGUUGUGUAGAGUUGAGUAUG